GUGCUUGCUUCAGCUGCACAUGGACUAAAAUUGGAAGCACACAGAGAAGAUCGGCAUGGUCGCUGCAUGAGGAUGACACAGAAAUCAGAAGCACGCAACUUUUUU
Molecule: small nuclear RNA, 105 nt
Filed under: Moschus moschiferus (Siberian musk deer)
Lineage: Eukaryota; Metazoa; Chordata; Mammalia; Artiodactyla; Moschidae
Source: RNAcentral